CCGUGCCGCGCAUCAAGUAGUCGCUCCCUUCUUCAUUUUUUUUCGUGUUGCUGCUGUCGCUAUGGACGGCUGCUGGGCUCCAUCAACCUCAUUCUGUGCGUCUCCGCCUCUCCCCUCUCCCCCCCCCUCCAAAGGACUGACUGAUUCUCUGCCCUGCUGCUUCCCUCACGAGCGAGAUGCUACUGAAGCACAUCGAUAACGUGGAAGAGCGCUUCGACCAGGCGCUGCAGCGCGUGCGCGACGGGGUGCGCCGCCGCGACGCCGCCCUCAACGACAUCCGCCAGUCCAUCCACGCCGAGAGCGAGCUUCACACGUCUCUGCGUGAGAUCAGCAACGUGCAGUACAGGCUCAUGCCGCAGUACGUGCACCGCAGCGCAGCACUGGCGCGCACCGUCGCGGCGAACGCGUCGCUGGCAGAACGCAGCUCGAAGCGGGUGCGACGGCUUGACGCGCUGCUACAGCGCGUGCAGCAGACGUGUGCCAUCGUGGACGCCAUGAAGGCAAUGGAGAACGACGCGGCCCAGGUGUCGUCUGUCCUGGACUCUGGAGACAUUGACAAGAUACUUCAGCUCCUGCACUCGUACGAGGCGGCACAGCGUGUGCUGACCUCAGCCUCUCCAGCCACUGUCGUUGCUGUGGAGGCGAAGGCAUCAGAGACGGGCACUGGCGGAGGCGCGUCCUUGUCAGCGCCGUCAUCAGCGGCGGUCGAAGUGUCGAACGCGGCACCCGUCAGCGACGUCAUGCGCCACGCUCGAGCGACCGUGCAGGCGCGCCUGCUCAGGAUGAUUGAGGACGCCGUGCAGGUGAACGACAAGCUGGCGAUCAUGAAGGGGACGAAGCUGCUAGCGGAGCUGGGCGAGGGCGCAGUGGCGUCGCGGCUGUACAGCGACUGGAUCGCUGAUCACACGAUUGCCGCGCUGGCAAAGCUGAUCGAUGGCGAAAUGAGAAAGAUGGAGGACUCAGCGACGGUGGCCAUGACGCACCUCGCACUCGUCUCGCAGUGCCUCGACAACGUCGCCGCCGCGUUCGAGAGCGACGAGGAGUUCACGUAUGAAGCCUUCGGCGCGCAGGGGCCGCUGGUGCUGCUGGCGAAGCUGCACAGCCGCGCCACUGCCCGAUGUGUGCCGGUGCUGAGCGACUUUAUCGAGCGCCGCAAGGACGUGCUGGCUCAGCUGGAGAAGCACGCGUUGGCCGGCGACGGUGUCAGUAGUGUCUCUCGCGUGUCGACAACGUCCAUGAACGCCGCUGCUGGUGCCAACGUCAACGCAGUGGUAGCCAGUGCCCGCCGCGCGGACCAGAUUCUAGAGGAGAUCAGCCACAUGGUGUCGUGCGGACAUAUCUACCUCACCUUCGUGGAGCGCAAGCAGACGGAGUACGAGAAGCGGAUGAAGGCGUCAGGUGCGGCGGCGGCAGCGGAGAGCGGCAGGGAGGAGUCAACCUCGAUGGCAGCCGCGGGCGAGGUCGUCGUGGGCAGCACCGCCGACAACCUCUGGCGCACCAGUGACAACGCCCUCCUCAACUCCAUGCAGGACAUCCUAGCCGUCUACGUGCCGCUGCAGACGGCGUACUUCACGAUCGCCUACGACCAAGCGGUCGACCUGCAGCUGCGUGCGAUCCGUGACGCCGCCAAGGAGGCGGCAGCCGCGGCAGCGCGUGCCGGCGGUGGUGGUGCUUCGCGUACUGCGGCAGGAACUCGGCACGGCAACGCGCCAGCUGCACUCGUUUCUGCGCCAUCGGCGGCGAGCUUCAUGUCGGGUCUGCAGAGUCUGUACAUGGUUGCCGCCAGCAGCGCUGACGAGCUCAUCGCCUCUGUCGGCGUCGGCGGAGGAUCCGCUAGCGCUGCGGGCGGUGGCGCCUCUGCGGCGGCUUCGGAGGAGCUCGCGUCGUUCUGGUACUUCACCCACAACGGCCAAGUCACUCUGCCCGACGACGUCUUCUUCGUGCUUCGCAUGGCCAUCCACCGCGCCAUGAACACCAAGUCGGCGCAGAUCUGCUCCGCUGCGGUCAUAUCCGCCAUGGACGUGGUGCAGUUGCGGCUCCUGCCAGAGAUCGAGUCGCACACGGUGAUCGCGGGCACAAGUAGCCACGCCGGGGCCGGCGGCGCGGCGUCUAAUUCGUCUGCUGCCGGGGGCCGGCGCCGUGCCGGCGCAGCACCGCACGGCGGCUUCCUGACACCUGACGAGCUACACUGGACCGGCGCGGCGCAGCGGACUGCGACGUACCUGCAGCGCAUGGCUGACGAACUGCAGCAGCUGGGUGAGGCGACCUUCUCCGCGACGCCGCACGAUGUGACGCGCUUCCGCGAACUUGCUGGCAACAUGCGCACGCUGGGAAGGACUCUGCAGGAAAAGCUAAUCCCUGCCUGGCUCGAUGCCUUCGCAGACGUGUGCUGCGACAGCGUUCUGCCGCCGCACAUGGAGCGCUUCGCCGCCGUUUCUUAUGACAUGAAGGAGGAGGUGUACUACCACUACGAGCUCAACGACGUGUGGGUGCAGGCGUGCUUGGUAGACCUCGGCGCCGGGCUUCAGUACCUCCAUCAGCACCUGGCAGAUGCGAAGCUGUUCGAUGCGCUACUCACGGCGAUGGCGCGGCGGGUGGCGAAGGGGACAAGCAGCGUGCUGCUCCGUAAGCGCGUCAGCCUCUUCGGCGCGCUUCAGGUAGACAAGGACGUGCGUGCGCUGCGGAGCUUCUUUGUGGAGCGGGCGCAGAACGAUCUCACCCCAAUCCGCGACGCGUUUACAGUUCUCAGCUUGAUGGCGACGCUGCUGCUCUCCGACAAGCCGACAGACGCACUGGAGGAGGCGGCGAACACGGCACUGACGGCGGACGAGAAGAAGAAGGUGCUGCUGACGCGCGUUGAGUUCCGCAAGGAGGCGGUGAUGGCGCUGCCGUUGUGACGUCUUGGUGAACGUGCCUGCGUGUCCGGGCUUAUGUUCAUCUGUGUCGCUUCUUUGCGUUGUGUGCACGCAUGCGUGCUCUGACUCUUUCACUGCGUCUGCGUCUGCGUCUGUGGUCGAUGCGAGUUGCUGUUAUGCGGUACUGAUGCACGCGUGUGCGCCUUU
Molecule: unclassified non-coding RNA, 3062 nt
Filed under: Leishmania donovani
Lineage: Eukaryota; Euglenozoa; Kinetoplastea; Trypanosomatida; Trypanosomatidae
Description: gene:LdHU3.05.0680(CDS-product:COG4_transport_pro tein_putative)
Source: RNAcentral